Molecule: long non-coding RNA, 1849 nt
Organism: Hyla sarda
Lineage: Eukaryota; Metazoa; Chordata; Amphibia; Anura; Hylidae
Exons: 3
Source: RefSeq, a predicted model, not a curated record
UGUGUCUGUUAGAUUAAUUACUUUUAAGUUUUGUGUAAGGAGGGACUUGUAAAUGUAAUGUGAGCACCCUAUACACACAUACACACACACACACACACACACACACAUAUAUAUAUAUAUAUAUAUAUAUAUAUAUUACCUGGAAAAAAAAUACAUUUACUGUUACUAAGAAUUUAUUUUAUACAUGUUCUUUGCAAAAUUGUACAGUAAGGCGUAAAGGUCUCAAUUGUUGAGUAAGGUGACCAGAUAAGUAGUUGGUAUGUAUUACUAGUACAGUGAUCCCUCAACUUACAAUGGCUUCAACAUACAAUAGUUUCAACAUACAAUGGUCUUUUCUAGACCAUUGUAACUUGAAACUAGACUCAACAUACAAUGCUACAGACAGUCCAGAUCUGCAAAACUUGUCAAUGACUGGAAGAACCGACCAAUCGGAAUGGACAUUUCGCUACCAAAACUCCUGUAUUCCUGAAGCACAUGCAUUGAAUGGCUGUCUGGUACCGCCCCCUACAGUACAGGGAGGUACUACAUGUUCUAUACUACUCUUUACCUGUGCCAAGCAUUUCAGAUCCAGGUGGCAGCAAAAUUAAUUAUUGUCAAUAUUUCAUACUUUAAGCUAAAAAAAUUAUGAAAUUCAGUCAUAGUAAUGGAUUGAUACAGAGGUCAACUACCAGACAUCAGUUCUUUUAAUAAAGAGGUUGUUAAUUUGUCUGUCCAAGAGGAUCGAGCCAACAAUUCCAAAGAGAAGUUUCAAAGAGAGUUGAUAAUUGUGAGUCUGCUGAGCGCUGCCUACAAUUUGAAGACAGUUUUCUUUUAUUUCGAUAAUAAAAAGAGAUGGGCUGGAUAGACGGUUGAUUAAAAUUUACUCACGUUCCAAAUACUAAAGGGAAGUUUUAUGCUCAGACAUUUAUUCUGACUAAAUGCUACAGUUAAAGUUAUCCUGUACAUGCCAAGACUCUAUAUUCAUUUUAGUAUUCCACAUUUGGAACUGAAAUUUCUGCACAGUUGUUUCGAGAAUUUAUAGGUUUUACAUAGAAACUAGCAUUUUAUUCAAGCCCUAAAAACAGAAUGUCAGGAAUGGACGUAGCAUUGAGGGUAAUGAAAAUGCAAGAUCGUAACUGUGAAAUGUUUGAUGGUAUAUCAUUUAAAUAAAUAAAAAUAAGCAAGUUACAUAUCAUGUUAUAAAUUUACUACCUUUUACUAUUUAAUUCAGGGCUCCGGGCAGGUGAUUUCUUCAGGAAUUUAGCCCUGCUUCGGGCAAGCAGCACUAAAUGCCGGAAGACUUCACACACGUAUUCACACACUGCUACUGUACCUAUAUUUCCCUGCUGCAGCCUAUAACAAGCCUUACUGGAGGGAUGCGCGCGAUUCUUGACAUCAUCGCAUCCGCAUCCCCAUCACCUAACGCGUGCAUCCCCACAAAGAAGGCUCGUUUUAGGCUGCAGCAGGGAGAUGUAAGUACUGUAGCUGUGAAACUUAACUUUCCUAAUUACUUGCCUAAUAAAGGAGGACCUGCUUAUCACCAGGGGCUAACCUAUCUUCUUAGGGGGCAUAAUUAUUUAAAUAGGAGCCCUACCUGCCGGGGGUAAUAUCUAUCUGGGGCCUAUACACCUAUUGGGAACCCCUACCUGAUCAUCAGGUAGGGCUCCCCAGAAGGUAGAGAGGCCCCCAGAUAGAUAUUACCCCAUCCGCGAUGGGGAUCAUAUCUAUCUGGGGCCUCUAUGCCUACCUGGAAGCUCUACCUCAUGGGGGUCAUAUCUAUCUGGGGGCCUAUGUACCUACUGGGGAGCCCUACCAGAUGGGGGUCAUAUCAAUCUGGGGGCCUGUCUGGGGGCAUGAUGGGGGCAUUAUA